RNAcentral lists this ribosomal RNA (433 nucleotides) under uncultured bacterium. RNAcentral's name for it is "partial 16S ribosomal RNA". It matches the Rfam family "Bacterial small subunit ribosomal RNA", at positions 29 to 507 of the family's 1533-position model. The record is from RNAcentral.
AACGAACGCUGGCGGCAUGCCUAACACAUGCAAGUCGAACGAGACCUUCGGGUCUAGUGGCGCACGGGUGCGUAACGCGUGGGAACCUUCCCUUAGGUUCGGAAUAACUCCCCGAAAGGGGUGCUAAUACCGGACAAUUUCUUCGGACCAAUGAUUUAUCGCCUUUGGAUGGGCCCGCGUUGGAUUAGCUAGUUGGUAGGGUAAAAGCCUACCAAGGCGACGAUCCAUAGCUGGUCUGGGAGGAUGACCAGCCACACUGGGACUGAGACACGGCCCAGACUCCUUCGGGAGGCAGCAGUGGGGAAUAUUGGACAAUGGGCGAGAGCCUGAUCCAGCAAGGCCGCGUGAGUGAUGAAGGCCUUAGGGUUGUAAAGCUCUUUUACCCGGGAUGAUAAUGACAGUACCGGGAGAAUAAGCGCCGGCUAACUCCGUG